AUUGGCACUAAUUACUAGGGGGCAUAACUAGUGAGUUAGAUACUGUGUUCCCAAAUGUCCUCUGUACACAUGCAGGCAUCCUUAGAAGGAUGACAUAACAAUCUAACAUGAGCCUUCCAUUAGGGCCGGAACACAGAGUUUAUGGCAUCAGCAACCCAUUGAGAGUACAGAUGAGGUGCAUGAGGCAAGGAAGCCUUGCUGAGAAACAAAAUUAGGGUUUCCAGCCUGAGGACUUUGCAAAGAAGGAGAAAAAUGAAGUAGGGAUGAAACUCUGAGGCUUUCAGAGACAGGAGGUGCUGUGCCAAGGCCACACCAUUGCAUUUGAACCUAUAGUGGCCAGAAGAAAUUUCUUCCUCUGGGGGUUGCACAGAAUUCAAAAAGUGGAAGGCUGAAUAAAAAAUAAGCCUAGUGCACUGAACAUUUCUUCUCAUGCAUAAAAGAUACCCUGGAAACUCCCAUCACAACUGUCGUGGUGCAUUUGCAGAUCUGAGUAUGAAGAAACACAGACCAGUCUUAAGCAGUGGUGUGGUUAACACUGAAAUAGAUGUCUAAUGAUUUUGAAGCAGUCUAAAUAACUUCGAAAACUCCUGGAGGAGAGAAAUGUGCUCACCCUGAAUUCUCUUGCAUUAAAAUGGAAGAAAAGAGAGCCCCGAGUAUUCAGCUGAGCUACCCUGUCAGUCCUUGGGGUUUGGAAUCCUAUUAGAGGUGUCUUUACAGUUUCACAUUAACUGCAACCAUUUCAAGAGCUCUCCAGAGAUUUUCUCCUGACCACUGCUCCCCUCAGUCGCUACUCCCCGCAAUAUAACUCUUAAGUGACUUUUCAAAGUUUUUACAUUUCUCAGUCCUCUUUUUUUUAAAACAUCACUGAAGGUAUUUUUGAAGAAUUAAUGGGAUAUUGUAUUCCUGGGAGAAAAUGACCUAGUCAUCUAAACUAGUAGAAGUGAAGGCUUGUUAAAGAAACCUGGUUUACUUUCCUGAAUUAAGAACCGAAGUUGCAGACUCCUGGGUUUCCGGUUUGUCACUCUAGGGGCAUGUGACCUCACUCCUCUUUAAGAAUCAAACAUUGAUAUUAACUGAUGAUUGCAACACAGUUGGACCAGUGCUCUAAUAGAACUCUGAGCAGAGAGCUUGAGCACACCAAGGAGUAAGAGGUGUACUGAGGACAACUGACACGGUAAAGACGACGUUUGAACCAAACUAGGUUCAUUCCUCCAGGACAAGCUCUGCAUUUUGUUUGAGCUAAAGAAACAAAGGUGAAUAAAACAAGGUUUGCCAAGGAAAGGACAUAGUCAUACCGACUACCCAGCAAAAUCUUCUGGGGUGAGGUAACCCCCAUACUGUUGGAAGAAAGUAGCCAAAACUCUCAGAAUACCUGCUAGGGAUUAGUAAUAGCAAUGCUUCUAGACCCUCAGCUGUAGCACGACAUUUUCAUCUGGUUUUGCUAUUUUGGGGCUUAGCUUCUGGCAUAAUGCAAGGCACAUGGUAAGCACUCAGUGUUAACAUUUGCUGCCUGCAUUAAUAAGUGUAGGUCCCUCAGGAACAUAUCAAGGACAGCAGAAUUAUGCUGUGGUGGUUGAUUUAAAAACAAGAGAAAUUUAUUUCUGGUCAAACUCAACAUCAGGCUAUAACCAAAAAUAUAAGAUCCACUUACAUUUUUUAUUUUACUCUUUAGGUGAAAAUAGCUGUUUCAUUCCUGCUGUUCCUUCAAUGUCUCAGUGCUAGUCUCUUACAGCUUAAAAAAUUAUACUCAAGAUCAAUGGAAAAAUAAA
Non-coding RNA from Callithrix jacchus (white-tufted-ear marmoset), 1769 nucleotides. NCBI's taxonomy places the organism in Eukaryota, Metazoa, Chordata, Mammalia, Primates, Cebidae. The record is from RefSeq and is a predicted model, not a curated record.